RNAcentral lists this ribosomal RNA (305 nucleotides) under uncultured bacterium. Its description in RNAcentral is "bacterial SSU rRNA". It matches the Rfam family "Bacterial small subunit ribosomal RNA", at positions 334 to 654 of the family's 1533-position model. The record is from RNAcentral.
CUUUCCUACGGGACGCAGCAGUGGGGAAUAUUGGGCAAUGGAGGAAACUCUUACCCAGCAAUGCCGCGUGAAUGAAGAAGGUCUUCGGAUUGUAAAGUUCUUUAAUUGGGGACGAAAAAAAUGACGGUACCCAAGGAAUAAGCCCCGGCUAACUCCGUGCCAGCAGCCGCGGUAAUACGGAGGAUGCGAGCGUUAUCCGGAUUUAUUGGGUUUAAAGGGUGCGUAGGCGGGCUUUUAAGUCAGUGGUAAAAAUUCGGGGCUCAACCCCGUCCGGCCGUUGAAACUGGGGGCCUUGAGUGGGCGAG